This is an RNA transcript of Macadamia integrifolia, 1545 nucleotides long. It is a transcript of the gene named protein REVERSION-TO-ETHYLENE SENSITIVITY1-like, with no coding region annotated. The transcript has 4 exons. Lineage: Eukaryota; Viridiplantae; Streptophyta; Magnoliopsida; Proteales; Proteaceae. The record is from RefSeq and is a predicted model, not a curated record.
AGAGGAAGGUUGGGGAUGUUCAUGCACUUUCCCCCCUUCUCUGGCUCUGCCUUCAGCGUUUCCUCUCUAACUCAGAGAAAAAUUCGUACAGAUUCAGUGUAUCAAGCCAACCUCAAAAUCCUAAACUACUCCAAGAACGACUUCUGAGUUUCUCAAGAAUCAUAGGUUUCCGAUGAUGGAGUCGUUUUGAUCUCCCCUGUGCAUGGAUGAAGAUUGACUCUCUGUCCACUUUGAGUGAAGGUAGAAUAAUUUUAUAUUCUCUGCAGGGAAUAGGUUAGCUAUGUGUCAGUUCUGGGAAUGUAGUAGUAGGUUGGAGUGAUCAUGUUUAACAGCCCAAGUUUGUAUAGAGUCGGAUGUCUCCAGGAAGAAACUCUAUAAUGGAACUGAUGGAAAAUGUUGUUGAAGAUGGCAGCUCUUAUAGAAACGUGCCACAUGAACUCUGGUCACUUGCUGAAGUUGAUCCGAAGAAGUCAAAGUUUCCAUGCUGUAUUGUUUGGACUCCACUCCCUGUGGUCUCAUGGUUGGCACCUUAUAUAGGACAUGUUGGUAUAUGCCGGGAGGAUGGGGCUAUUCUGGAUUUUGCAGGAUCAUAUUUAUUGAACAUAGACAAUUUCGCAUAUGGUGCUGUAGCCAGAUAUCUUCGACUUGAUAGAGCACAGUGCUGCUUUCCUCCUCACUUGGCUGGCCACAAGUGCAAAAAUGGGUACAUGCAUGCGGAGAAUGGAACUGCAGUCAGUUGGGAUGAUGCACUGAGCUCAAGCAUGCGUAACUUCGAGCACAAAUCCUACAACCUUUUCACCUGCAACUGCCACUCAUUUGUUGCAAACUGUCUGAAUAGGCUCUCUUACCAUGGGUCCCUUGGAUGGAACAUGGUUAAUGUGGUUGUUUUGAUACUGUGGAAGGGGCAAUGGGUGGAUGCCAUGUCAGUUGUGAGGUCAUUCUUUCCCUUCACUCUGGUGCUCUGUCUGGGAUUACUGAUAGCUGGGUGGCCGUUCUUGAUCGGAUUGGCAUCUUUCUCUGUCCUCCUCAUGGGGUGGUUUCUCAUAGGUACUUACUUUGCCAAAUCUCUGUUAGAGUGAUAGAUCAUUGUGGUACUAUACAGAUUUCUUUGAUGGAAUGAUGGAACAGAGUUUUUGCAUCCAGUCUUAAGCUUCAUUGAAGUGCCUUCUUACAUCGCUAUCUCGGAACAUGGAGUGGGUUGCAGUUACGGGCCAUUGUUCAAGAUUGAGAGAUGGAAAGGAAUAAGAAGCAACCAGGAGGAACUCGUUACUUUUUCCUUAAUUAUAAAUUGGGUGAGAGUUUUUACUACGACGCCCGCAUGCAGUUUUCGGCCAAUGGGAGGAGCGGGAGACGAAUGUUACAAAUAGCCAUAUAGGGGGUUUUUGAGGAGAGAGAAAAUAUAUGGGGCCCGUAUUUAUGUGUCUUGCCUUGUACUUUGAUGUGCACACUGUUGUUGUGUGAAUCUUCUACUCUUUCUUUUACCAACAAAAAAAAAAUCUUCUACCCUUCAUAAAUUCUGGGAAAAGGUGGGGUAUUUUUGUGGUA